UUUGUUGUCGUCCAGCGGUUAGGUUAUUUGGCUUUCCCCCAGGAAACUCGGGUUUGAUUCCCGGCAACGGAA
Ipomoea nil (Japanese morning glory) is the source of this 72-nucleotide transfer RNA. It matches the Rfam family "tRNA". Rfam says of the family: Transfer RNA (tRNA) molecules are approximately 80 nucleotides in length. Their secondary structure includes four short double-helical elements and three loops (D, anti-codon, and T loops). The record is from Rfam. NCBI's taxonomy places the organism in Eukaryota, Viridiplantae, Streptophyta, Magnoliopsida, Solanales, Convolvulaceae.